GUGCCAGCAGCCGCGGUAAUACGUAGGUGGCAAGCGUUGUCCGGAUUUAUUGGGUUUAAAGGGUGCGUAGGCGGCUUUGUAAGUCAGUGGUGAAAUAUGGCAGCUCAACUGUCAAGGUGCCAUUGAUACUGCGGAGCUUGAGUACAGAUGAGGUAGGCGGAAUUGACGGUGUAGCGGUGAAAUGCUUAGAUAUCGUCAAGAACACCUAUAGCGAAGGCAGCUUACUAGGCUGUAACUGACGCUGAGGCACGAAAGUGUGGGGAUCAAACAGGAUUAGAUACCCUGGUAGUCC
This 292-nucleotide ribosomal RNA is filed under the name uncultured bacterium. RNAcentral describes it as "partial 16S ribosomal RNA". It matches the Rfam family "Bacterial small subunit ribosomal RNA", at positions 505 to 796 of the family's 1533-position model. The record is from RNAcentral.